This 305-nucleotide ribosomal RNA is filed under the name uncultured bacterium. Its description in RNAcentral is "bacterial SSU rRNA". It matches the Rfam family "Bacterial small subunit ribosomal RNA", at positions 337 to 656 of the family's 1533-position model. The record is from RNAcentral.
UCCUACGGGGGGCAGCAGUGGGGAAUAUUGGGCAAUGGGCGCAAGCCUGACCCAGCAACGCCGCGUGAAGGAAGAAGGCUUUCGGGUUGUAAACUUCUUUUCUCAGGGACGAAGAAAGUGACGGUACCUGAGGAAUAAGCCACGGCUAACUACGUGCCAGCAGCCGCGGUAAUACGUAGGGGGCAAGCGUUAUCCGGAUUUACUGGGUGUAAAGGGAGCGUAGGCGGUUUAGCAAGUCAGAGGUGAAAGCCCGGGGCUCAACUCCGGGACUGCUUUUGAAACUGUUGAACUAGAUUGCAGGAGAG